Molecule: long non-coding RNA, 1069 nt
Organism: Oncorhynchus keta (chum salmon)
Lineage: Eukaryota; Metazoa; Chordata; Actinopteri; Salmoniformes; Salmonidae
Exons: 3
Source: RefSeq, a predicted model, not a curated record
GGCGACGGUUGUUUCAUGUUUUCAAGCAACACGUUCAAAGAAUAACGGCCGUUUGAGUCUGAAAAGCCCUAUACGGAUUGACCAUGCAAUGCAUGCGUCCAGCAGGAUGCACAGCCAACAACUAUGGUUUGCAUGACCUGACGAAUGACCCUAUAAUGCAGAAUAGGUGGUUGGAGUUUGUUGGUCCCCAGUAGUGAUAAAGUGCACAGUUGGGUGCCAGACUGAUCCCCUGGUCAGGAACGGAUGCCGGGACCUACCAGGAGGAGCAGAACUUUUCAGGCAAGACCAAGGAAUACACGUUUGUCUUACGACACAAGUACCCUUGUGACACCUCCUCCGUUCUUGCCAAAGACUCCCUCGACUCCUAUGAAAAGCACACUCAACUCUGAUAGUGACCCGAGUUUUAUCGCCCUGAUGACAUUUAUUUUUGAGUUUUAGUGCGCAAUGGGACAAGGACAUCCCUGCCGGCCAAACCCUCCUCUAGCCCGAACAACAGCUAAACCUAGAUGACUUCAUCAACAACGAAGUCGCUUUGGAUAAGAGCGUCUGCUAAAUGACUUAAAUGUAAUGUAAAUGUAACGACAGGUAAUGUGUGUUAUGUGAAUAGUUGUAUUAAAAAAUACCAGGCUUGAUAAAAUAGUAGGCUAUUUCCCCAGGUUCCUAGAUUAGGUGUAAAUUUGACAAAUGUGGUUUAAUAUCAAUAUUAUUUGUCUACAUCUGUCAUGUAACUGUGAAUAAUGAUAAUGUAUAACUGUAAUAAUAUUGAUGUACUCUUAACAUCAGUUUACUAUUUAUUCUAGGAUUUUUUUCUUCAAGUGUCCAAACAAAUUAUACAAAAACAAAAAGAUCACAUUUUAUACACAUACUCCCAAUACAUGUAACCCAUAUUUCUAGACUUGUGUAUGACAUAUGAGGACUCAACAAUUAAUUGGAAACUUGACCCUGUCUUUCACCAAUAAGCUUUGUCAAUCUUGGGGGCAGUGUGGCAACAGCAGUGAUCAGGCUUUUUUCCCAAGUCGGGAAAGUUCCUGUGCUUGAUCUUGAUUAGGGCCAUGGAUGAAAAUGUCAC